Molecule: microRNA precursor, 103 nt
Filed under: Marmota monax (woodchuck)
Lineage: Eukaryota; Metazoa; Chordata; Mammalia; Rodentia; Sciuridae
Source: RNAcentral
AAUGGAAUUGCUGGGUUAAAUGGUAAUUCUAUGUUUAACUUUUUGAGUAAUCACCAAACUGAUUUCCCCAGUAACUGCACCAUUUCACAUUUCCCCUAGUAAG